RNAcentral lists this unclassified non-coding RNA (156 nucleotides) under uncultured bacterium. Its description in RNAcentral is "16S-23S ribosomal RNA intergenic spacer". The record is from RNAcentral.
CUAAGGAAGUCAAAAGAUAAUCGAAAGAUAAUCAAGUAGACUUAAAAAAAUAAGUUUUUUAACUUUACACUAUUAAUUAAAUUCAUAAGAACCAUUACAACUUCAAAAGAUAUAUAACUUAAAUUUCUAGAAAAACAAUAAACUGGAAAAAACAAA